GAAUAUUGGACGAUGGGGGCAACCCUGAUCCAGCCAUGCCGCGUGUGUGAAGAAGGCCUUUUGGUUGUAGAGCACUUUAAGCAGUGAAGAAGACUCCAUGGUUAAUAACCGUGGACGAUGACAUUAGCUGCAGAAUAAGCACCGGCUAACUCUGGUCCAUCAGCCGCGGUAAUACAGAGGGUGCAAGCGUUAAUCGGAAUUACUGGGCGUAGAGCGAGCGUAGGUGGCUUGAUAAGUCAGAUGUGAAAUCCCCGGGCUUAACCUGGGAACUGCAUCUGAUACUGUUAGGCUAGAAUAGGUGAGAGGAAGGUAGAAUUCCAGGUGUAGCGGUGAAAUGCGUAGAGAUCUGGAGGAAUACCGAUGGCGAAAGCAGCCUUCUGGCAUCAUAUUGACACUGAGGUUCGAAAGCGUGGGUAGCAAAC
This 422-nucleotide ribosomal RNA is filed under the name uncultured bacterium. Its description in RNAcentral is "bacterial SSU rRNA". It matches the Rfam family "Bacterial small subunit ribosomal RNA", at positions 359 to 773 of the family's 1533-position model. The record is from RNAcentral.